GAGGGUAUAGCUCAGUGGUAGAGCAUUCGACUGCAGAUCGAGUGGUCCCCCCGGUUCAAACCCGAGUGCCCCCU
RNAcentral lists this transfer RNA (74 nucleotides) under Stegodyphus mimosarum. It matches the Rfam family "tRNA". Rfam says of the family: Transfer RNA (tRNA) molecules are approximately 80 nucleotides in length. Their secondary structure includes four short double-helical elements and three loops (D, anti-codon, and T loops). Further hydrogen bonds mediate the characteristic L-shaped molecular structure. tRNAs have two regions of fundamental functional importance: the anti-codon, which is responsible for specific mRNA codon recognition, and the 3' end, to which the tRNAs corresponding amino acid is attached (by aminoacyl-tRNA synthetases). tRNAs cope with the degeneracy of the genetic code in two manners: having more than one tRNA (with a specific anti-codon) for a particular amino acid; and 'wobble' base-pairing, i.e. permitting non-standard base-pairing at the 3rd anti-codon position. The record is from Rfam by way of RNAcentral. Lineage: Eukaryota; Metazoa; Arthropoda; Arachnida; Araneae; Eresidae.